UCAGUGAACUGCAGUCUGCUGUCCCGUGUAGCGGUGGACAGCGAGAGGUCCAACCUGGAGGACAGAGUGAUGGAGUUGGAGGAACAGCUCAGUGAGACACACAGAGAGUGUGUGAUCAACACCAAAGUCUUCUGGAUGAAGCUGAGAAGAAACACGAGCAGGUGCUGGAGUCCAGUGUUCAGCUACAGAAAGAGAUCUACAAACUGGUAUCAGACAUGGACUUACUGUAGCCUCAGCUGAGCUGAAAGAGGAAGAGCUUCUUCAGACUAACAGGAAGUGCAGCAGGUUAAUGGCAGAGUGGGAACAGUACCAGGAUGUUUACUGUACCAUGAAGGUGAAGUACGACGGAAUGAAAGAAUCCGUGAAACAUUUGUAGAUUUUCAUCACAGACUUGUACAGAGCAUGUAGCGCCAUCACUUGGCCUGAAAAGCAGCUCAGUGGUCACGUGGUCGGUUAUGGCGCUCAAUAAGUUCCUGAUGUGGUUUCUGUUUGUAUUUUUUUCCUCAUUUCAUUAAUUCUUUCUUUGCAUGUGAAUGUGAAUGAAAAUAAAUCUCUUGUCACUGUGUGAUGUAAUAUUUUUGCUGGAAAUUGCAAUAAUAAAGUACUUAAAAUGUA
This is a long non-coding RNA of Silurus meridionalis, 615 nucleotides long. RefSeq lists it as uncharacterized. NCBI's taxonomy places the organism in Eukaryota, Metazoa, Chordata, Actinopteri, Siluriformes, Siluridae. The transcript is spliced from 3 exons. The record is from RefSeq and is a predicted model, not a curated record.